GGCGCGCAAAUUACCCACUCCCGGCACGGGGAGGUAGUGACGAAAAAUAACGAUACGGGACUCAUCCGAGGCCCCGUAAUCGGAAUGAGUACACUUUAAAUCCUUUAGCAAGGAUCAAUUGGAGGGCAAGUCUGGUGCCAGCAGCCGCGGUAAUUCCAGCUCCAAUAGCGUAUAUUAAAGUUGUUGCGGUUAAAAAGCUCGUAGUCGAAUUUGUGUCUCAUGCCGCUGGUUCAUCGUUCGCGGUGUAAACUGGCGUGACAUGGGACGUCCUGCCGGUGGGUUUAGCUCCUAAGGGGGCGGCCCUAUAUAAUCCUGCCGCGUUGCUCUUAAUCGAGUGUCGAGGUGGGCCGGCUCAUUUACUUUGAACAAAUUAAAGUGCUUAAAGCAGGCUAAAAUUUUGCCUGAAUAUGUGUGCAUGGAAUAAUGGAAUAGGACCUCGGUUCUAUUUUGUUGGUUUUAGGAACACGAGGUAAUGAUUAAUAGGAACGGAUGGGGGCAUUCGUAUUGCGACGUUAGAGGUGAAAUUCUUGGAUCGUCGCAAGACGAACAUAAGCGAAAGCAUUUGCCAAAAACGUUUUCAUUGAUCAAGAACGAAAGUUAGAGGUUCGAAGGCGAUCAGAUACCGCCCUAGUUCUAACCAUAAACGAUGCCAGCCAGCGAUCCGCCGAUGUUCCUCCGAUGACUCGGCGGGGAGCUUCCGGGAAACCAAAGCUUUUGGGUUCCGGGGGAAGUAUGGUUGCAAAGCUGAAACUUAAAGGAAUUGACGGAAGGGCACCACCAGGAGUGGAGCCUGCGGCUUAAUUUGACUCAACACGGGAAACCUCACCAGGCCCAGACACUGGAAGGAUUGACAGAUUGAGAGCUCUUUCUUGAUUCAGUGGGUGGUGGUGCAUGGCCGUUCUUAGUUGGUGGAGCGAUUUGUCUGGU
Molecule: ribosomal RNA, 927 nt
Filed under: Meloe proscarabaeus
Lineage: Eukaryota; Metazoa; Arthropoda; Insecta; Coleoptera; Meloidae
Also listed under: 1 other name
Description: SSU rRNA
Rfam family: Eukaryotic small subunit ribosomal RNA
Source: RNAcentral